Small nuclear RNA from Otolemur garnettii (small-eared galago), 116 nucleotides. Its record names the gene U5. It matches the Rfam family "U5 spliceosomal RNA". Rfam says of the family: U5 RNA is a component of both types of known spliceosome. Lineage: Eukaryota; Metazoa; Chordata; Mammalia; Primates; Galagidae. The record is from Ensembl.
AUACUCUUGUUUCUCUUCAGAUCGCAUAAAUCUUUCACCUUUUAUUAAAGAUUACCAUGGAGAGGAACAAUUAUGAGUCAUAAGCUAAUUUUUGGAGGCCUUGCUUUGGUGAGGGU